RNAcentral lists this ribosomal RNA (912 nucleotides) under Phialocephala fortinii. RNAcentral's name for it is "eukaryotic LSU rRNA". The stretch from base 631 to 912 matches the Rfam family "Eukaryotic large subunit ribosomal RNA", at positions 1 to 284 of the family's 3401-position model. Lineage: Eukaryota; Fungi; Ascomycota; Leotiomycetes; Helotiales; Mollisiaceae. The record is from RNAcentral.
GAAUGGCUUAGUGAGGCUUUCGGACUGGCUCAGGGUGCGCGGCAACGCCUGCCCAGAGCCGGAAAGUUGUUCAAANUUNGUCAUUUAGAGGAAGUAAAAGUCGUAACAAGGUUUCCGUAGGUGAACCUGCGGAAGGAUCAUUACAAGUGANNGNGCUACCGAACGUUGGAAACWGNNNNNCCGGUUAGGAGCUUACACCCACCCGUGUCUACAUACUAUUGUUGCUUUGGCGGGCCGUGGCCUCCACUGCGGGCUCUGCUCGUGUGUGCCCGCCAGAGAACCAAACUCUGAAUGUUAGUGAUGUCUGAGUACUAUCUAAUAGUUAAAACUUUCAACAACGGAUCUCUUGGUUCUGGCAUCGAUGAAGAACGCAGCGAAAUGCGAUAAGUAAUGUGAAUUGCAGAAUUCAGUGAAUCAUCGAAUCUUUGAACGCACAUUGCGCCCUGUGGUAUUCCGCAGGGCAUGCCUGUUCGAGCGUCAUUUAACCACUCACGCCUAGCGUGGUAUUGGGGCACGCGGUCUCCGCGGCCCUCAAAAUUAGUGGCGGCGCCGGUGGGCUCUAAGCGUAGUACAUACUCCCGCUAUAGAGUUCCCCCGGUGGCUCGCCAGAACCCCCAAUUUUUACNAGGUUGACCUCGGAUCAGGUAGGGAUACCCGCUGAACUUAAGCAUAUCAAUAAGCGGAGGAAAAGAAACCAACAGGGAUUACCUCAGUAACGGCGAGUGAAGCGGUAACAGCUCAAAUUUGAAAGCUGCCAACAGGCCGCGUUGUAAUUUGUAGAAGCUGCUUUGGGUGUCGGCCCGGUCUAAGUUCCUUGGAACAGGACGUCAUAGAGGGUGAGAAUCCCGUAUGUGAUCGGUGCCGUUGCCCGUGUAAAGCGCUUUCGACGAGUCGAGUUGUUUGGGAAAUGCA